GCUCGCUUCGGCAGCACAUAUACUAAAAUUGGAACCACACAGAGAGGAUUAGCAUGGCCCCUGCACAAGGAUGACAUGCAAAAUCAUCACACAUUCCGUAUUUUU
Camelus dromedarius (Arabian camel) is the source of this 105-nucleotide small nuclear RNA. The record is from Ensembl. Lineage: Eukaryota; Metazoa; Chordata; Mammalia; Artiodactyla; Camelidae.